This 485-nucleotide ribosomal RNA is filed under the name uncultured bacterium. RNAcentral's name for it is "partial 16S ribosomal RNA". It matches the Rfam family "Bacterial small subunit ribosomal RNA", at positions 30 to 507 of the family's 1533-position model. The record is from RNAcentral.
AUUGAACGCUGGCGGCAGGCUUAACACAUGCAAGUCGAGCGGGGAAAGGUAGCUUGCUACCUGACCUAGCGGCGGACGGGUGAGUAAUGCUUAGGAAUCUGCCUAUUAGUGGGGGACAACAUCUCGAAAGGGAUGCUAAUACCGCAUACGUCCUACGGGAGAAAGCAGGGGACCUUCGGGCCUUGCGCUAAUAGAUGAGCCUAAGUCGGAUUAGCUAGUUGGUGGGGUAAAGGCCUACCAAGGCGACGAUCUGUAGCGGGUCUGAGAGGAUGAUCCGCCACACUGGGACUGAGACACGGCCCAGACUCCUACGGGAGGCAGCAGUGGGGAAUAUUGGACAAUGGGGGGAACCCUGAUCCAGCCAUGCCGCGUGGGGGAAGAAGGCCUUUUGGUUGUAAAGCACUUUAAGCGAGGAGGAGGCUACCGAGAUUAAUACUCUUGGAUAGUGGACGUUACUCGCAGAAUAAGCACCGGCUAACUCUGUG